RNAcentral lists this ribosomal RNA (253 nucleotides) under uncultured bacterium. RNAcentral describes it as "partial 16S ribosomal RNA". It matches the Rfam family "Bacterial small subunit ribosomal RNA", at positions 524 to 776 of the family's 1533-position model. The record is from RNAcentral.
UACGUAGGGGGCUAGCGUUGUCCGGAAUCAUUGGGCGUAAAGCGCGUGUAGGCGGUCCGGUAAGUCCGCUGUGAAAGUCGAGGGCUCAACCCUCGAAUGCCGGUGGAUACUGUCGGGCUUGAGUACGGGAGAGGCGAGUGGAAUUCCUGGUGUAGCGGUGAAAUGCGCAGAUAUCAGGAGGAACACCGAUUGCGAAGGCAGCUCGCUGGAACGUUACUGACGUUGAGACGCGAAAGCGUGGGGAGCAAACAGG